AUACGGAGGAUCCGAGCGUUAUCCGGAUUUAUUGGGUUUAAAGGGUGCGCAGGCGGCCAUUUAAGUCAGCGGUUAAAUCGUGGGGCUCAACCCCAUUCUGCCGUUGAUACUGGGGGGCUUGCUUGUGGUCGGGGUUGGCGGAAUUCGAUGUGUAGCGGUGAAAUGCAUAGAUAUGACGAAGAACACCGAUUGCGUAGGCAGCUGACCAGACCGCAAAUGACGCUCAUGCACGAAAGUGCGGGGAUCGAACAGGAUUAGAUACCCUGGUAGUCCGCACAGUAAACGAUGAAUACUUGUUUUCGGCGAUAUAAUGUCGGAGGCAAAGCGAAAGCGAUAAGUAUUCCACCUGGGGAGUACGCCGGCAACGGUGAAACUCAAAGGAAUUGACGGGG
This 392-nucleotide ribosomal RNA is filed under the name uncultured bacterium. Its description in RNAcentral is "partial 16S ribosomal RNA". It matches the Rfam family "Bacterial small subunit ribosomal RNA", at positions 523 to 918 of the family's 1533-position model. The record is from RNAcentral.